This 492-nucleotide ribosomal RNA is filed under the name uncultured bacterium. RNAcentral describes it as "partial 16S ribosomal RNA". It matches the Rfam family "Bacterial small subunit ribosomal RNA", at positions 29 to 507 of the family's 1533-position model. The record is from RNAcentral.
AGUGAACGCUGGCGGUAGGCCUAACACAUGCAAGUCGAACGGCAGCACAGUAAGAGCUUGCUCUUACGGGUGGCGAGUGGCGGACGGGUGAGGAAUACUUCGGAAUCUACUUUUUCGUGGGGGAUAACGUAGGGAAACUUACGCUAAUACCGCAUACGACCUACGGGUGAAAGCAGGGGAUCUUCGGACCUUGCGCGAUUGAAUGAGCCGAUGUCGGAUUAGCUAGUUGGCGGGGUAAAGGCCCACCAAGGCGACGAUCCGUAGCUGGUCUGAGAGGAUGAUCGGCCACACUGGAACUGAGACACGGUCCAGACUCCUACGGGAGGCAGCAGUGGGGAAUAUUGGACAAUGGGCGCAAGCCUGAUCCAGCCAUACCGCGUGGGUGAAGAAGGCCUUCGGGUUGUAAAGCCCUUUUGUUGGGAAAGAAAAGCAGCAGGUUAAUACCCCGCUGUUCUGACGGUACCCAAAGAAUAAGCACCGGCUAACUUCGUG